UGAAAGAGCUUGUGUAAGCUUGAGAG
RNAcentral lists this non-coding RNA (26 nucleotides) under Mus musculus (house mouse). Lineage: Eukaryota; Metazoa; Chordata; Mammalia; Rodentia; Muridae. The record is from RNAcentral.